CUAUUUGAAUAUAAUAAAAAUAUUCAAUAAAAUAUUUUAUUUUCUUAUAAAAUAAUAUUUAUAGAGUUACCGGUAAAUAAUUUUUGUAGCGUAAAAUCUAAAUAAAUUCAUACAUAUUGUAAUACAGAUAACCAAAGUAUAAAAUUUAAUUUACAGUGACACGUGGGCCCACGAACGACCAAAAGUAUCAAAAGCGGUAAACCUACAAUUUUUAAGGAUGCAAGUCCAACUGUAGCCCUCAACAAAGUGAGCUAUCUACCGACUAUCCUGAGCCUGAAAUGGGUGGAAAGGAAGGUGGUGAGAUUAUAUAAUCUCAGUCAGUAAACAAAUACCAUCUAAAAUAUCUAAAGCUGAGUAAAUGGAGAUAGAUUAAAAUAAAUCAUAAUAUUGUAAUUCAUCACCUUUCAACUCAUUUCAACCAAAUAAAAUCAAUUCAUAUAAAUCGAGUAAUCAACAUGGCUUAUAAAUUUCUUAAAUGCUUUGACUUGUGCCAAAAUCAUUCUCAUACCCUGUUGUCAGGGAUACCUUAGCCUGGGGCUAUCCCAACCGAGUUCGCCAAGGUUGUCAAAAAAAUCAUGUACACAUAAAUCAUGUUUUUAUUUUGAAAACAUAGCCGUUCCUUGGCGUUGGCUAAGUUCACCUUCAUGUGGUGGUUUGGCGUGAAGUGAACUCUAAAGUUGUACCCCAGGAGUUACCCUACAUGCCUCUCCAACCGAGGUAAGAAUAUAACGAGGUUACCGUGCCCCUCUAAUAGGCUGGUCCACGGAACCCGCCCACUGCAGCAAGCUAAACCCACCAAUUCAAUAAAAUCUCAACUGCAUGACAUGGCAAUUAUAUCACAAUCUAGCCUCUCAAGGCUAAAUACACAGUUCAUAUAUUUCAACACAAAUACCAAUUCAGCCAUUCAUGCACAUAUUGUCAUAAGCCAUUCAAUUCAAACCAUGAAUUUACAACACAUGAAAACAGUCUCCAAUUACUCUAUUUUCAAACCAUCAUUCAAUUUCAAGACAAUUUUAUAAAAUUAUUUCAUUAAAUCACAUUUUAAUUACAAAAUACAAAGAUUUACCAUUUAACUCAUUUUCCAUAAAAUCGCAAAAUCGGAUAAAAACCACUUUAGAUAAUUAAGAUGAUAGUAAGGUUACUCAAUAUUUCAGGAGUCGAAUUCUGAGUACUUCGAUUCUUGAUCCUUGGGUACUAUCUCUUUACUUUUGCCAGAAAGCUCACCACCUAGACAUAAUGCACAAUAAGCCAUUUACUGCAUUUGUGCUAAAUUGUUAUAAAACCAAUUCAAGCUCUAUACUAAUGCAUGAAAUGGGAUGUAAAUUGUUUGGAUUAUCAUCUAAACAUGGUGUUCUACACAAAUUCAAUUAUGUACCUAAAUAAAACGGUAUUGGCCUAAUUCGAUCUAUCACUCGAUUUAAUUGGCCAAUAUCUCCAAUUUAACUCCCAUUAACUCCAUUUUUCUUCCAAUUCUCCAAACCAUCAAACACAAAUUAAAUAACUUAAAAUAUGGCAAAACCAUCCUCACAUUUUCUCUUGGAAAAUUCGGCCAUGGUGGGUGCAUCAAUACUAUGAUUUUUCCUACUUGAUUUUCUCACUGUAAUUUAUCAUUUCCUAACCAAUUCACUUGAAAUAAAAUCAAAUCCACCAUCCACACUCUACAUGGAAGAUUCGGCCAAUGAUGGGUUAUGGAAGAACAUGAAUUUUUCUUGUUUGUUUUUCAUGCUACACAUCACUAACUAACUAAAAACACUAAAAUACAUUGAAAUCUAACCAGAUCCGAGUUCAAAACUCCUCCCCCCAUGUCCGGCCAGCAAGAGUAUCCUCAUGCAAACUUGAUUCUCAACCAUGGAAAAUGAAAAAGAAUGCAUAGGAAAGGGAAAUCACAAGCUAGAAUUGAAAAAUCUUACCUUUUGUCACUUUAUUCUUUGAAAUUUUGUGAAUUUCUCUUGAAUUUCUUAGCUAGGUUUUUGUUCUUCUUCUUGUCUUCCCUU
Molecule: long non-coding RNA, 1994 nt
Filed under: Theobroma cacao (cacao)
Lineage: Eukaryota; Viridiplantae; Streptophyta; Magnoliopsida; Malvales; Malvaceae
Description: long non-coding RNA (TCAC_LNC001106)
Source: RNAcentral